UGGAGCAUGUGGUUUAAUUCGAUGAUACGCGAGGAACCUUACCUGGGCUCAAAUGUAUGUUGACGUAUUCUGAAAGGGAUACUUCUUCGGACAAUAUACAAGGUGCUGCAUGGUUGUCGUCAGCUCGUGCCGUGAGGUGUCGGGUUAAGUCCCAUAACGAGCGCAACCCCUAUCAUUAGUUGCCAUCAGGUCAAGCUGGGGACUCUAAUGAAACUGCCUACGCAAGUAGUGAGGAAGGUGGGGAUGACGUCAAAUCAGCACGGCCCUUACGUCCAGGGCUACACACGUGCUACAAUGGCCGGUACAAAGGGCAGCUACCUGGUGACAGGAUGCUAAUCUCAAAAGCCGGUCUCAGUUCGGAUCGGAGUCUGCAACCCGACUCCGUGAAGUUGGAUUCGCUAGUAAUCGCGCAUCAGCCAUGGCGCGGUGAAUACGUUCCCGGGCCUU
RNAcentral lists this ribosomal RNA (447 nucleotides) under uncultured Sphingobacteriales bacterium. RNAcentral's name for it is "bacterial SSU rRNA". It matches the Rfam family "Bacterial small subunit ribosomal RNA", at positions 933 to 1382 of the family's 1533-position model. Lineage: Bacteria; Pseudomonadati; Bacteroidota; Sphingobacteriia; Sphingobacteriales. The record is from RNAcentral.